RNAcentral lists this unclassified non-coding RNA (345 nucleotides) under soil metagenome. RNAcentral's name for it is "partial contains 5.8S ribosomal RNA, internal transcribed spacer 2, and large subunit ribosomal RNA". The stretch from base 1 to 120 matches the Rfam family "5.8S ribosomal RNA", at positions 35 to 154 of the family's 154-position model. The record is from RNAcentral.
GAUGAAGAACGUAGCGAAAUGCGAUACGUAAUGUGAAUUGCAGAAUUCAGUGAAUCAUCGAGUCUUUGAACGCACAUUGCGCCCCCUGGUAUUCCGGGGGGCAUGCCUGUCCGAGCGUCAUUGCUGCCCUCAAGCACGGCUUGUGUGUUGGGCCUCCGUCCUCCUCCCGGGGGACGGGCCCGAAAGGCAGCGGCGGCACCGCGUCCGGUCCUAGAGCGUAUGGGGCUUCGUCACCCGCUCUUGUAGGCCCGGCCGGCGCUUGCCGACACAUCAAUCUUUUUUCCAGGUUGACCUCGGAUCAGGUAGGGAUACCCGCUGAACUUAAGCAUAUCAAUAAGCGGAGGA